Etheostoma cragini (Arkansas darter) is the source of this 208-nucleotide long non-coding RNA. RefSeq lists it as uncharacterized. The record is from RefSeq and is a predicted model, not a curated record. NCBI's taxonomy places the organism in Eukaryota, Metazoa, Chordata, Actinopteri, Perciformes, Percidae. The transcript is spliced from 4 exons.
CAAAACCCAGAAAAUAAUCAAAGCUCCAUUGUGUAAUGUUUUGAGUUGAUUCUUAGCCAAAACCCCUUUGUUCUUUCCCAAAUAUGUGCUUAUUCAUGUGUAAUUACUUCCACCGAUUAAUCAAACUAUUCUCGUAAGCGUAGAAUCAGCCAUUCAGAAUCAUUUAGAAUACCUACGAGCGAGCGAGCUCAAAUGGCGGCAAACAUGU